UUUAACUGAAGAGUUUGAUCAUGGCUCAGAUUGAACGCUGGCGGCAGGCUUAACACAUGCAAGUCGAGCGGGGGAAGGUAGCUUGCUACUGGACCUAGCGGCGGACGGGUGAGUAAUGCUUAGGAAUCUGCCUAUUAGUGGGGGACAACAUCUCGAAAGGGAUGCUAAUACCGCAUACGUCCUACGGGAGAAAGCAGGGGAUCUUCGGACCUUGCGCUAAUAGAUGAGCCUAAGUCGGAUUAGCUAGUUGGUGGGGUAAAGGCCUACCAAGGCGACGAUCUGUAGCGGGUCUGAGAGGAUGAUCCGCCACACUGGGACUGAGACACGGCCCAGACUCCUACGGGAGGCAGCAGUGGGGAAUAUUGGACAAUGGGGGGAACCCUGAUCCAGCCAUGCCGCGUGUGUGAAGAAGGCCUUAUGGUUGUAAAGCACUUUAAGCGAGGAGGAGGCUACUUUAGUUAAUACCUAGAGAUAGUGGACGUUACUCGCAGAAUAAGCACCGGCUAACUCUGUGCCAGCAGCCGCGGUAAUACAGAGGGUGCGAGCGUUAAUCGGAUUUACUGGGCGUAAAGCGUGCGUAGGCGGCUUAUUAAGUCGGAUGUGAAAUCCCCGAGCUUAACUUGGGAAUUGCAUUCGAUACUGGUGAGCUAGAGUAUGGGAGAGGAUGGUAGAAUUCCAGGUGUAGCGGUGAAAUGCGUAGAGAUCUGGAGGAAUACCGAUGGCGAAGGCAGCCAUCUGGCCUAAUACUGACGCUGAGGUACGAAAGCAUGGGGAGCAAACAGGAUUAGAUACCCUGGUAGUCCAUGCCGUAAACGAUGUCUACUAGCCGUUGGGGCCUUUGAGGCUUUAGUGGCGCAGCUAACGCGAUAAGUAGACCGCCUGGGGAGUACGGUCGCAAGACUAAAACUCAAAUGAAUUGACGGGGGCCCGCACAAGCGGUGGAGCAUGUGGUUUAAUUCGAUGCAACGCGAAGAACCUUACCUGGCCUUGACAUACUAGAAACUUUCCAGAGAUGGAUUGGUGCCUUCGGGAAUCUAGAUACAGGUGCUGCAUGGCUGUCGUCAGCUCGUGUCGUGAGAUGUUGGGUUAAGUCCCGCAACGAGCGCAACCCUUUUCCUUACUUGCCAGCAUUUCGGAUGGGAACUUUAAGGAUACUGCCAGUGACAAACUGGAGGAAGGCGGGGACGACGUCAAGUCAUCAUGGCCCUUACGGCCAGGGC
RNAcentral lists this ribosomal RNA (1220 nucleotides) under Acinetobacter baumannii. RNAcentral describes it as "bacterial SSU rRNA". It matches the Rfam family "Bacterial small subunit ribosomal RNA", at positions 1 to 1214 of the family's 1533-position model. Lineage: Bacteria; Pseudomonadati; Pseudomonadota; Gammaproteobacteria; Moraxellales; Moraxellaceae. The record is from RNAcentral.